Transfer RNA from Ramazzottius varieornatus, 73 nucleotides. It matches the Rfam family "tRNA". From Rfam's summary of the family: Transfer RNA (tRNA) molecules are approximately 80 nucleotides in length. Their secondary structure includes four short double-helical elements and three loops (D, anti-codon, and T loops). The record is from Rfam. Lineage: Eukaryota; Metazoa; Tardigrada; Eutardigrada; Parachela; Ramazzottiidae.
GCCCGGCUAGCUCAGUCGGUAGAGCGCGAGACUCUUAAUCUCGAUGUCGGGGGUUCGAGCCCCCCGUUGGGCG